GUUCUAACUCAGGUCCGUUAUCCGGAUCGAGGACAGUGUAUGGUGGGUAGUUUGACUGGGGCGGUCUCCUCCCAAAGAGUAACGGAGGAGUACGAAGGUGCGCUCAGACCGGUCGGAAAUCGGUCGUAGAGUAUAAAGGCAAAAGCGCGCUUGACUGCGAGACAAACACGUCGAGCAGGUACGAAAGUAGGUCUUAGUGAUCCGGUGGUUCUGUAUGGAAGGGCCAUCGCUCAACGGAUAAAAGGUACUCCGGGGAUAACAGGCUGAUACCGCCCAAGAGUUCAUAUCGACGGCGGUGUUUGGCACCUCGAUGUCGGCUCAUCACAUCCUGGGGCUGAAGCCGGUCCCAAGGGUAUGGCUGUUCGCCAUUUAAAGUGGUACGCGAGCUGGGUUUAGAACGUCGUGAGACAGUUCGGUCCCUAUCUGCCGUGGACGUUUGAGAUUUGAGAGGGGCUGCUCCUAGUACGAGAGGACCGGAGUGGACGAACCUCUGGUGUUCCGGUUGUCACGCCAGUGGCAUUGCCGGGUAGCUAUGUUCGGAAGAGAUAACCGCUGAAAGCAUCUAAGCGGGAAACUUGCCUCAAGAUGAGAUCUCACUGGGAUCUUGAAUCCCCUAAAGGGCCGUCGAAGACUACGACGUUGAUAGGUUGGGUGUGUAAGCGCUGUGAGGCGUUGAGCUAACCAAUACUAAUUGCCCGUGAGGCUUGACCAU
Molecule: ribosomal RNA, 712 nt
Filed under: Streptococcus pneumoniae
Lineage: Bacteria; Bacillati; Bacillota; Bacilli; Lactobacillales; Streptococcaceae
Description: partial 23S ribosomal RNA
Rfam family: Bacterial large subunit ribosomal RNA
Source: RNAcentral